RNAcentral lists this unclassified non-coding RNA (423 nucleotides) under soil metagenome. RNAcentral's name for it is "partial contains 5.8S ribosomal RNA, internal transcribed spacer 2, and large subunit ribosomal RNA". The stretch from base 1 to 120 matches the Rfam family "5.8S ribosomal RNA", at positions 35 to 154 of the family's 154-position model. The record is from RNAcentral.
GAUGAAGAACGUAGUGAAAUGCGAUAAGUAAUGUGAAUUGCAGAAUUCAGUGAAUCAUCGAAUCUUUGAACGCACCUUGCGCUCCCUGGUAUUCCGGGGAGCACGCCUGUUCGAGUGUCGCGAAAUUCUUCAAGCCUUGGAUGGAUUUUUUUUUGUCUGUCCUUGGGCUUGGUUGUUGGGCUCUGCCGUGUCCUUCAUUGGGACGGCUGGCCUUAAAAGCAUUAGCCGAUCCUCGUGUGGUACUGGUUCUACUCAGCGUGAUAACAAUCUGAUCGUUGAGGACAUCUUCUGGAUGGCCAGUCAUCAUUUGGGUUGCUUCUAAACCGGUUUCGCAGAUUGCUCAAUCUGUGUGCCACUUUUCAGCUUUGACCUCGAAUCAGGUGGGACUACCCGCUGAACUUAAGCAUAUCAAUAAGCGGAGGA